CUUUGCAGACCUCUCAAACCAAGGGCAGCAGGAAAAAAAUUGUAAUCCGUUUGCUUUGCCUAUAAAACAUUUUGAAGGGCCAGCCCUCUCCUCUACUGCAGAAAGAAGUACAGUACUGGGGAAAGAUCCAUUUAGCACUAGCAGGUGCAGCCAAAUGAGCCACAGCUGCAUAGGUGAUCACCAGGGAAUUGCUGUGCCUCAUUUGCCUAAAUGAUUCACUCUCAGACCCAUGAGACUUUCCCUUCCCCCAAAAGAAUGUUUCUCUGCAGAGAGGUCGAUGAAAUUUACUGACUGAGGGUAAAUGCUCCAUCUGUGGGGGGAGCGCCGGGCAGAAGGACAUGGAUCUUCCAGCUAGUUCUCCAAAAGAAAAGACUCCAGCUUAUGAAAAUGUGGGCUGAUGUCGCCUGCAAGCAGAGGCUUAAAAUAAUGGUGUCAAAAAGAAUCAGAGAGUCUCAUUUUCACACCACAGAACCAGCACUCCAGUCCCUUUAGGUCCAUGGCUCACCUGAAUGCUUCUGCAGAAAAGAGGAAAAGACUGACUGGCUGGAUAUGUACAGUACAAAAAAUCGAGGGUGGGGAGCUUUGUCCCAAAGGCAGGCAGAGGAAGAAGUCUUCUGUGCCUCACUAAAGACGACUCAAUCAAAAGCUUCAAGAGGUCAAACUACACUGAAGCCCAGUAAAGAUUCUGUGGCUGAAUUUUUUUCAAGCUACUUCCACUGCAGAAUAGAAACAGGAUAUUUAACAGCUCCGGGCAUUUUUGAGCCAAGGUCUUAUUGCUGCAUAUAUAGGAUUCUGCUGCCGGCAUCAGUGACUGAGCAGCUGCAGGGAUGUUCUUUUCCUCCGUGUGACAUUGAUAAAUGACCUGCAGGAAUGCUUAACAAGGUUUGGAAUAUUGUCUUACUCCCAUGGACAACAAUUCUGCAUGUAUUCUAGCAAGAGUCUUUUUUAAAAAGUCAGGGGAUUUAAGCUGUUAUAUCUCACCUCGUUUUCUGUGAUACUGGAGCAGAAAUCAGACCAGCCCCCAAUUAAAAUCUAUAGCACAGCAAUUGUAAACUCACACAAUUUGCUUUGUGAAUUCAAUAAAAGGUAUUUUAAUUUUAUUAUUAUUAUUUGC
RNAcentral lists this long non-coding RNA (1114 nucleotides) under Pogona vitticeps (central bearded dragon). RNAcentral's name for it is "lncRNA (ENSPVIG00000002338.1)". The record is from RNAcentral. Lineage: Eukaryota; Metazoa; Chordata; Lepidosauria; Squamata; Agamidae.